Long non-coding RNA from Cucumis melo (muskmelon), 358 nucleotides. RefSeq lists it as uncharacterized. The transcript is spliced from 3 exons. Lineage: Eukaryota; Viridiplantae; Streptophyta; Magnoliopsida; Cucurbitales; Cucurbitaceae. The record is from RefSeq and is a predicted model, not a curated record.
UACAAUGCUUGUAUGAUAAAAGGAAUUUUGGAAAAGAUCUUCUUGCUGACUGGAGGAGAAGAAUCAAGGGAGAGGGCUUUCUGUUUUUCCGAGACAAAGCUAUUCGUAACGGUCUCUCUCUCUGCCUUUCUCUAAUAUUUUCUUCCUAGUUUCAAGCUGGAGAGAUUUUAUGAAGGGUGGAAAGAAGGGUGGUCAGAUUACGUAGAAUGCGUGAAGUGAAUCAAGAAGUUGUCCAAAAACAAGGCUUUUGUUAAAUAAGAUUACGUAGAAUGUGUAUUUUGUUAAAUAAGAUUUCAUUUUGUGUAUGCAAAUGUAAAAGACAAAUAUUAAAGUUUCUAAAUAAUAUUAAUUUUAUUGA